RNAcentral lists this ribosomal RNA (465 nucleotides) under Vreelandella stevensii. RNAcentral's name for it is "partial 16S ribosomal RNA". It matches the Rfam family "Bacterial small subunit ribosomal RNA", at positions 338 to 795 of the family's 1533-position model. Lineage: Bacteria; Pseudomonadati; Pseudomonadota; Gammaproteobacteria; Oceanospirillales; Halomonadaceae. The record is from RNAcentral.
CCUACGGGUGGCAGCAGUGGGGAAUAUUGGACAAUGGGCGAAAGCCUGAUCCAGCCAUGCCGCGUGUGUGAAGAAGGCCUUCGGGUUGUAAAGCACUUUCAGUGGGGAAGAAAGCCUUGGGGCUAAUACCCUCGAGGAAGGACAUCACCCACAGAAGAAGCACCGGCUAACUCCGUGCCAGCAGCCGCGGUAAUACGGAGGGUGCGAGCGUUAAUCGGAAUUACUGGGCGUAAAGCGCGCGUAGGCGGUCUGAUAAGCCGGUUGUGAAAGCCCCGGGCUCAACCUGGGAACGGCAUCCGGAACUGUCAGGCUAGAGUGCAGGAGAGGAAGGUAGAAUUCCCGGUGUAGCGGUGAAAUGCGUAGAGAUCGGGAGGAAUACCAGUGGCGAAGGCGGCCUUCUGGACUGACAGUGACGCUGAGGUGCGAAAGCGUGGGUAGCAAACAGGAUUAGAUACCCUAGUAGUC